CCAUGUAAUUUUCCAAGUAGUGCCCUCUGAACACGUGGUAGCUGGUCCAGUCAGCUGAUUCUGGUCAUAUCAGCGUUUUUGUGUGACAUGGCCAUAUUGAGGAUUGAAACCAAAGUCAUUUGAAAUUAAAAGGGUAAUUUGAAAGGAAAUUUUUUCUAGGGACUAAAAUUUAAAUUCGCUAACAUUACCAAACACACAUUUUACCCUUAAUAGAAUCUCUCAAUCCAACAAACAUCAUCUACUAUUGCCUCCUCAUAAGUAUGCACAUUCAUCUAAUUCCUUCAAUCUUUGCUAUUGGAAAAAGUAACCAUAUCAGAAGAAGUAGAAGGGCUAUUUUGAGAAUAAAGAACGAGAAUUUGAUUUCUUUCCACGAACCUGAUGUUUUUUUCACUUUUACCAAAGCCAAUAACACAGUCCUUUCGUCAAAAAGAAAAUGGUCAUCAUCGUCAUCGAAGUGAGUCUAGCAACAAAUUGAGGUGUUUUAAAAUCAUUUUUUCAAUUUGGACUUCUUUUGCUCUAUAUUUUCCUGUGCCCAAUUUACUACCUGCACCCCAUGACCCCAUGUGUAAUCUUUGUACCACCCAGACUUUCCAAUACUACCUCAAUACCAUUAACACACCCCACAUCCGAAGUUACACCGCCCCACACUCGGUCAGCUAACUUCACCUCCCUUGCACCCCCGACGCCUAUGUCUGGGCCUGAAAUGUGCAACCCAUUUACUGACCCACAGCCCUCACUCACCCCUUCACUUGCUGAACCCCCACCUUCACCUUAUCCCCCAACAUGUUUCUACUUCCAUCUCUAAGCCCAAUAAUACUAUCCACAUCUUCUUUCUCGCCACACACCCCACUUCCAUAUUAUUAUUAACAUUAGCACAAAAUCNNNNNNNNNNNNNNNNNNNNNNNNNUAUUUUAUUUCGUCAUCCUCCUCCCAAGUUUGUUAACAUACGAGAAGUGAAAUGGAAAAUCGAGUGAUGAUAUAAGAAGAGAGUGAAUAUGACAAGAUGGAUUCCAAAAACACGCAUGCUUAUUUUAUUAAAAAUACUAGUCAAGAGUACAAAUUUAAAAACAAACAAUUCUUAGCAAGAAAGAAACUACAACUGAAAAUAGCAAGCCUAAUGACUCUCAGGAUGAGCCUCCUUGUUGACCCAUCGACUUUGAAGAUGNAUUCUCGGACUUGUCAGGGUGAAAGGGGUGACCAUUUAAGAGCGAGAUUCCUUCUUGAAAGACAACAACUUGCGGUCGAUGAGUUCUUGCACCUUGUACUUGAAAGCCCUACAGUCACCGAAGUUUUUUUCAAGGGUAAAAUUGGAAAUUCAGGGGUAUAAAAGAAUCACGGGGGGUGGGGAGAGAAAACAUCUCUUCUUUCUCGCCACACACCCCACUUCCAUAUUAUUAUUAACAUUAGCACAAAAUCACACUCUCUCCUCCUCAUUAAAGUCAUAUGUCUCCUUUAAAAAAAAUCAACAUUCCAUGCGUGAAUAGGAAUACUAAAAAUUCUCACCCAAACACAACGUUCUUGCAUCACCCUCUAAAACAUUCCAACAACUAAUAAAAGCAACAAAAAAUCCUUUGAACCCAACCUGAACAUAUCCUCUUUUUUAUCACUAAACAAAAAACAUUCUUCCCAUCCAAGUAUGCUACUCGAAUGUAAUUAAAAUCAGCUCCCAACAUAAAACAUUGCAAAGAUGGAAGCAUUUCAACAUAUGCACCUCCCCUACCACCCCUCG
This 1729-nucleotide long non-coding RNA is filed under the name Trifolium pratense (red clover). RNAcentral describes it as "long non-coding RNA (TPRA_LNC000925)". Lineage: Eukaryota; Viridiplantae; Streptophyta; Magnoliopsida; Fabales; Fabaceae. The record is from RNAcentral.